GUUUGGGAAUCACAUGGCCGGAGAAUUUCUAAAGACCCUUGCAGCUGUGACAUAUGACUUCAGUGAUUAAGAGACUAACCUGGAGUCUGACUGAUUUCAGUUAAAUUCCUGGUUGCCAGUCACCAGCACCACCUCAGUUUCAUCCCGUAAAGGAGGGUAAUGGCGCCUACCCCAGGACUCCUGCAUGAAUCGUCCGCUCCUUCAGCCUGACUGUUCUUCUCGCAGUGGGUGGGUUCCUGUCGCCUCCUGGUGGUAAGACUAAAAGAGGGACUUAGAACUUUCCCACAGACGAGGAAAUUGAGACUUAGAGAAGCAAACUUCCCAUAAACGAUCUGGGCCCAGGCGUUCCACUUGCCCCAGGUUCAUAGGUGCACCGGGGGAUGACCGUGCCACGUGACAGCCCCAGCCUGGAGCAGGAGACCUGGUUCUACCACUGAGAGUUACUCAUCACACACCGUGGGCCCUGGAGAGACAGCUGUGAACAGAAUAGACAAAGUCCCUGGCCUCAGGGAGUUUUUCUUCAUAGCUCCUGUGACAUCAUUCAGAGACGUGUGGGGAACUACCCAGUGGGGAGAUAGUAUCCUCAUUUCUCGAAGGCCUCUUGGAGACGGUGCUGGGCUGAGUGGUUCUCAGAGUCAGAGGAGACAUCAGUGCCCCAGUUUUAUUCUCUGUGCCUCCCAAUAACCUCAUCUCACAGCCUGUGCAUUCCAUGAGGAAAAAACCAAGCUGGAACACCAUUUUCAGCUCCUUCGGCCAGCGCCCAACAGUCACUAGGGCUUCCUUCAGCCCAGGCUCUGAGCUCAAACAGCUGACCUGAAUCCUGCUCACUCCCGCCUGUCCUCCUGUGAGACCCUGGACAGUGGCUUAACCUUCCUUAGCCUCUGUUUCCUUAUCCAAGAAGCAAGGCUAAGACUAGGACCCUGGGGACUUCCCUGGUGGUCCAGUGGCUAAGACGCCAAGCUCCCAAUGCAUGGGCCUGGGUUUGAUGCCUGGUCAGGGAACUAGACCCCACACGCCGCAACUAAGAGUUCACAUGCCACAGCUGAGAACCGAUGCAGCCAAAAAA
This is a long non-coding RNA of Bos taurus (domestic cattle), 1066 nucleotides long. Lineage: Eukaryota; Metazoa; Chordata; Mammalia; Artiodactyla; Bovidae. The record is from Ensembl.